RNAcentral lists this ribosomal RNA (123 nucleotides) under uncultured archaeon. RNAcentral's name for it is "partial 16S ribosomal RNA". It matches the Rfam family "Archaeal small subunit ribosomal RNA", at positions 214 to 333 of the family's 1478-position model. The record is from RNAcentral.
CCUGCGGCCGAUUAGGUAGUGCCUUAGGUAAUGGCUAACCAAGCCUUUGCUCGGUACGGGUAGUGAGAGCAAGAGGCCGGAGAUGGAACCUGAGACAAGGUUCCAGACCCUACGGCGAGCGCA